Molecule: ribosomal RNA, 411 nt
Filed under: Panagrolaimus sp. PS1159
Lineage: Eukaryota; Metazoa; Nematoda; Chromadorea; Rhabditida; Panagrolaimidae
Description: SSU rRNA
Rfam family: Eukaryotic small subunit ribosomal RNA
Source: RNAcentral
GGUAAUUCUGGAGCUAAUACAUGCAUAAAAGAUGUUUUUGUAAAAAAACAUUGCGUAUAUUAGUAUUAAAACCAAGCAUUCUUCGGGAUGUUUUGUGUUGAAACUGAAUAUAUCUGCUGAUCGUAUGGUCUUGUACCGACGACAUGUCAUUCAAGUGUCUGAUCUAUCAACUUUCUAUAUAAGUAUAUAGUACUUAUAUGGUUUUGACGGAUAACGGGGUAUUAGGGUACGACUCCGGAGAAAAUGCCUGAGAAACGGCGUUUACAUCCAAGGAAGGCAGCAGGCGCGAAAAUUACCCACUCUCAGUACGAGGAGGUAGUGACGAGAAAUGACNAAGAUCUAUUCCUUCGGGGAUGGAUCAUUGGAAUGGUUUGAUUUUAAAAUCAUUAAAGAGUAUCAAUGAGAGGGCAA